RNAcentral lists this long non-coding RNA (1489 nucleotides) under Malus domestica (apple). RNAcentral describes it as "long non-coding RNA (MDOM_LNC019376)". Lineage: Eukaryota; Viridiplantae; Streptophyta; Magnoliopsida; Rosales; Rosaceae. The record is from RNAcentral.
UCAAGCUUCCAAAUGUUCCAAUUAGAUGAUAACAAAUGAGUUUCAGAUGUCAAUAGGGACGUAAGUGGCCAAGUAGCAACAAGAGAUAUGAUUACAUUCUCUAUAAAUGAAGGAGAAGGGUCUGGGGAAGAACACACCGCCAGCGAAAAGAAAUCCUCUUCUCAUAUCACUCCUUCAUCAUCCAAUUUGUGUAGAUUAUGUAAUGGCUUUCAAGCUACUUUAUUUUGUAUUUUGUAAAUCUCAUUUAUAGUGAAUAACAAAUACAAACACAAUUUGUGUAGAUUAUGUAAUGGCUUUCAAGCUACUUUAUUUUGUAUUUUGUAAAUCUCAUUUAUAGUGAAUAACAAAUACAAACACAAUCCUAGCGGAUAUAGCCGAAUUGGCAAACCACUUAAAUCCCAUAUUUAUGUACCUUUAUUUUGAAAUCAUUACCAUGAAAAGCGCCUUCAACCAACAAUGGAAAUCUCCUCAGAAAACCUAAAACCAAAGAAAUGAAAUCCCAAUAAUCAUAAUGAAUCUAUAUUUCCUCCCUCACUUGAACCCCAAAUCAAAUUCAGUUACGUAAACUAUUAUUCAUAGACUACUGGAUUUUUAAUUAGGAGGCAACCAUAACAUCACACCAAAUUGAUCAAGGCAACCAACCGUCUUUCUGCAUCUCUGCACCGGUGUUCGAACUCCACCGCCAGGCAGCAGCAGCUAUGCUGGCUUUGGCCAGUCACACCCACUAAUGGCAGCCAUGGAAGACAAUGAUGACAUCCUAAGACUUCUACGACAAAACCACCAUCAAGGCUCUCACUGUCCAAGAGAACCAAUCCAUGUGCACUUUCCUCUCCCACCACAACGAAGAAGACGUCACCUUUUAUGGUUCUCGACAUAAGACGAACUGAGUGGUAAACCGGUGGAGAGAGAGAAAAUAAAGAAAAUAGUGAAGAGGGAGAAAAUGGUAAGUCCCAUUUUCUCAUUUAUAUUGUUGUUAGCUAUCAAUGCUUCAUUAUUAAUAGUCUAAUAUUAUUUUGGUUACUAAUCAGUUGGAUUUAUGUUGAAGCUUGCAGGUUUGUUAGAGAAAAUGUGAUUAUUGAUAUCUAUGUGAACCUAACAUAUACAUAUGCAUUGCAAAUGAAAGAAAAAGAGUUGAGUUGUGUAAAGAGUUUGAGUUGUGAAGGUAUUCAAGGCCCAUAAAGAAUGCCUUGAAUACAAAAUAAUGAAAUCUUGUAUAUGUUAGGCGUUGAGGGAAGGGCUUGUAUUGGGCGUCGGGAAGUGCCCAUAUAAUAAAAUGGAAAGUAAGAAUUUAAUUACAAAAUGGGUUUAAGGGAACAGGAGUUAACUCAGAAAAGGUAUUUGGAGCCCAGUGAUAUAAGCAUGGUAUAGGAUGUGCAAGCUUGGGUACCUUAAGUAAGUGUUAACAUGAUUAGAAGGGAGUGAGUACAUUCAUCCAUCCCAAUUGCAUAUAUUUUAUGUAUUUGCAACAAUCGUCCCAUUUUGUUAUACG